UGAAGUCCCACAGGAGCGACCUGAGACCACAUGGAUCAGGCAUCUGCACCUUCCGAAACCAGAUUACCACUUUGUGGGCGAUUUAGCUUAGGGUUCUGGCAAAGUUGCAAUCCUUUGGUGCUCAUGUGUUCUCAGGUCGCCCCUGCUGGUCUUUC
Beta vulgaris subsp. vulgaris (sugar beet) is the source of this 155-nucleotide non-coding RNA. The record is from Rfam. Lineage: Eukaryota; Viridiplantae; Streptophyta; Magnoliopsida; Caryophyllales; Amaranthaceae.